RNAcentral lists this unclassified non-coding RNA (200 nucleotides) under Ciboria sp. RNAcentral describes it as "partial internal transcribed spacer 2". Lineage: Eukaryota; Fungi; Ascomycota; Leotiomycetes; Helotiales; Sclerotiniaceae. The record is from RNAcentral.
UUAAGUUCAGCGGGUAUCCCUACCUGAUCCGAGGUCAACCAUAGAAAAAUUUGGGUUUUGGCAGAGGCACACCGAGAACCUGUAACGAGAGAUAUUACUACGUUCAGGACCCAGCGGCACCGCCACUAAUUUUAAAGCCUGCCAUUACUGACAUAGGCUCAAUACCAAGCAGAGCUUGAGGGUUGAAAUGACGCUCGAAC